UUGAGUGGAGCUCAGAGAUAGAGACUAA
This 28-nucleotide non-coding RNA is filed under the name Cricetulus griseus (Chinese hamster). The record is from RNAcentral. Lineage: Eukaryota; Metazoa; Chordata; Mammalia; Rodentia; Cricetidae.